AAUUUUGGACAAUGGGGGAAACCCUGAUCCAGCCAUCCCGCGUGUAUGAUGAAGGCCUUCGGGUUGUAAAGUACUUUUGGCAGAGAAGAAAAGGUAUCCCCUAAUACGGGAUACUGCUGACGGUAUCUGCAGAAUAAGCACCGGCUAACUACGUGCCAGCAGCCGCGGUAAUACGUAGGUGGCGAGCGUUGUCCGGAAUUACUGGGCGUAAAGGAUUCGUAGGUUGAUACUUAAGUGGGAUGUGAAAUCCCCGGGCUCAACCUUGGAACUGCAUUUUUAACUGCCGAGCUAGAGUAUGUCAGAGGGGGGUAGAAUUCCACGUGUAGCAGUGAAAUGCGUAGAUAUGUGGAGGAAUACCGAUGGCGAAGGCAGCCCCCUGGGAUAAUACUGACGCUCAGACACGAAAGCGUGGGGAGCAAACAGG
This 424-nucleotide ribosomal RNA is filed under the name uncultured bacterium. Its description in RNAcentral is "partial 16S ribosomal RNA". It matches the Rfam family "Bacterial small subunit ribosomal RNA", at positions 360 to 776 of the family's 1533-position model. The record is from RNAcentral.